CAACGCGGAGUUCACGUGGAAUGUCAAGCGGGCAAAAGCACACAAAUGAGGCAAAAUAGUCGCAGAAUCCGCGUUCGGUGUGAACGCACCUUAAGGGAUAGGUUAAAUGCAGAGGACAAUUGCUCCAUUGUCAGAACAAUAAACUUCAUAUUGUUAUUAUUAUUAUUAUUAUUAUUUUUUUUAUAAUCCAUUUGGAUUACAAGACCAUUUGCACAUAGGACUUCGGGUACAAAAGACGUUUCUAAAACUAUUUACAAACUAUUUAAAGUCCUUCAUUUUACUUGGAAAUGGCAACUAUAAACAAGUCAAAAAAUGUAGGAUAGAUGCCAGUCUUUCCAGGUGUGGAUGUCCCAGCAAAAGGAAGUGCCAAAACAGCUAGCUAUGUCUUAGUCUUUAGUUCAGUUGUUGAAUGUUAAAGUUUGUGCCUGUAAAAAAAUAAAAUAUAUAUUAAAUGGGUGGUUCAUGUUUAGAAAUGCAUGAAUACAAAUAAACUGCAAGACCACUGGAACAAUAUCCUUUGGACAAAUGAGACCAAUUUAGAGAUGUUUAUCUAUAAUGCACAGUGCCACAUGUAGCGAAAAAUUAAACACACACAAACUCACGAUACCAACUGCCAGGCAUAGUGGUGGAGAGGUGAUGAUUUGGGCUUCUUUUACAUUGGGCACCCUGAGAUCUUUGACAAUAAACUUCUCUGUAUACCAAAGUACUUUAGAGUAAAGUGUGACACCAUCUAUCUGACAGCAAGAGAAUGGCUGAAAUAGGUUCAUCGGCAGGUCAAUGAUCUCAAACAAAAGAGCAAAUCUACAACUGAAUUCCUCAAAAUGACAUUUAUCAACGUGUUUAUAAUGGCCCAGUCAGACCCUAAUUAAAUAAAAAAAUGUUGUGGCAGGAUCUGCAGAUAGCUGUUCAUUAAUAAAUAACCCCAGACCCGAAGAGAAUAAAGUCAUAUAGAAAAUGACUACUUGAAGCCCUGGCUGCCAAAAGUCACCUGGCAAGCUCUUAAAUCAUAUGUGGGUGUACUUAGUUUCCCCAUUAUUAUUGUUGUCACAAGUCUUUUGGUAGAUAUUUAAUCACAUUUAAGCUCGACUUGGAUUUUUUUUCUGACCCAAUUGGAGCCACAUGGGAACCUCACAGCAUUGGAAUUACAACCUAUUUUAGUGUCUGACCUUUUAGUUUUACAUAAUUUCAAGGUUGUGGUCAAAAUUUCUCUGGGAUAGGCUAUUUUGAGAAAUUAGGCGAGAGACAAAAGCUGGCCUCUUUUGUGGUCUCUGUUGAAGGCAGUCAUGGACUAGUUGUUUGACUUUUUCAGAAGUAAGGCCUUAAACUACCAAAAAUAACUCUUUCUCAUCAGAAACGGACCCUCCAUGUUGGGACUUCAUCUAGUAUGUGCUUGUCACACAGUAUCUUUUGGGGGCUAGCAUGCCUGCUAACUGUACAGGGUUUAUUUUUAGUCGUGCUUUUUCCUUCCAUGAAAGAAAACGUAUAGAGAUAGAUAUGGGGUCAGUACAACCCUACAGCUGUGUGUUUGAACUUUUUAUCUAAUGUAAUAGUAGUAAGACUUUCAUUGCGGUUUGCCUUGCACUUUUUAAUAAUAAUACAGCACAUACUGUGUGUAACCCAGGUGUACAUUUUAACUUCCAUUUCCUCAUUCUCCGAUUUUUCACUGUUUAGGCCCUUUAUCUCUCAAAUCUCGCAAUAGUUUUAAUAUAAUGUCAGCAAUUCUCUACUACACUGCCAAUCGCUGUUGAGUAUCGGGGUCACAUGUACCACCGCAGCCUAUCUGCUAGGUAUAUUAGCUGGAGCGGGGAAGUAUGAAAGAUUAGGACGCGUUGGGAGGAGCAGAGCUGUAGGAGCCAACUACUGUGAGCCGAGAGGAGAUGAGAUGAGAAAAACCCGGUUGUGUGAGAUAUAAACUGAGGAAUUGGCCAGGUUUUGAUGGCGAGCUGAAGAUCCAGGCCUAGAGCCUAAGAACGAUUGCACUUUUGGUGCAUGAAGACUUCUGAUUCUCCUGCCAGGCUGGUAGGAGGCUCCUUGCAGCCAACGAACAAUUUGUGCCCACUCUGAUAUGACUUAUGUAAGUCCAGGACCUGCACGGCACCAAGCCCUCUAUAAUUAACUUGUGUGGGACCUCUAACCAACCCCAGCUUGGGGUGGAUGAACUGAAGAGUGUAGGUCUAUCAAUUAAGGAAUUGUGGGAUUGAUUGAUUAAUUUUGUUUUUCUUUUGCGCAUUUUAUAUGGCCAUUCGAAUGUUUCAUUGAUGUUGUAAAUAUGUAUAUAAUUUUUCUCACUUUAAAUACAAGGCACUUGCAACUGCAAA
Long non-coding RNA from Girardinichthys multiradiatus, 2318 nucleotides. RefSeq lists it as uncharacterized. The record is from RefSeq and is a predicted model, not a curated record. The transcript is spliced from 2 exons. Lineage: Eukaryota; Metazoa; Chordata; Actinopteri; Cyprinodontiformes; Goodeidae.